GAAAAGUUUAAUUUUGGCUUAAAAUUUGGUGUAAAGUUUUUUCCAUAUGCGAGGUUAAGUUUUUAAUAAUUCAUUGAGCAGUGGAUAGAAUUAAUUAUCAAGGAAAUCUUGGACUUAGGGAGUUUUUUAGUCUUGAUUAAAAUUGUGCCAGCAGUCGCGGUUAUACAAUUAAGGCAAAUCAAAUUUAUUUUUAGGCAAUAAGUUUUUGAGAGGAUUUUUAAUUUUUUGAUUUUAGGUGAAAUUUAAUUUUUUAUAGAGGUUAUUUUACGAUGUGCGAAACUUUUUUUAUAAACUAGGAUUAGAUACCCUAUUAUUGAAAGUGUGAAGUAUAAAUAUUAGUAUUAGUUAUGAUCUUGAAAGUAAAAAAAUCUGGCGGUAUCUUAGUCCUUUCAGAGGAACCUGUCCCGUAAAUGAUAGUCCACGAUUAAUUGUACUUAUCCUUUAAGCUUGUAUAUCGUCGUGGUUGAGUGUUUUUGUAGAACAACAUUCAUGUCUCUUUAUAAAGAGGGAAUUCAGAUCAAGGUGCAGUUGAUGGAUAAGAGGAGAUGGGUUACAAUAAGUUUACUUAUAUGGUUUAGAUUUUUAAAAUGGUCUAUUAAAGUGGAUUUGAAAGUAAAUUUAAGGAUUUACUUAUUUUGAUUAGGCUCUAAGAUAUGCACAUAUCGCCCGUCGCUCUCAUUUAAGUUGAGAUAAGUCGUAACAUAGUAGGUGUACCGGAAGGUGUAUCUAGUUUGAU
Molecule: non-coding RNA, 736 nt
Filed under: Apatides fortis
Lineage: Eukaryota; Metazoa; Arthropoda; Insecta; Coleoptera; Bostrichidae
Source: RNAcentral